RNAcentral lists this ribosomal RNA (973 nucleotides) under Pseudomonas sp. RNAcentral describes it as "bacterial SSU rRNA". It matches the Rfam family "Bacterial small subunit ribosomal RNA", at positions 39 to 1004 of the family's 1533-position model. Lineage: Bacteria; Pseudomonadati; Pseudomonadota; Gammaproteobacteria; Pseudomonadales; Pseudomonadaceae. The record is from RNAcentral.
GCGGCAGCUACACAUGCAGUCGAGCGGAUGAAGGGAGCUUGCUCCUGGAUUCAGCGGCGGACGGGUGAGUAAUGCCUAGGAAUCUGCCUGGUAGUGGGGGAUAACGUCCGGAAACGGGCGCUAAUACCGCAUACGUCCUGAGGGAGAAAGUGGGGGAUCUUCGGACCUCACGCUAUCAGAUGAGCCUAGGUCGGAUUAGCUAGUUGGUGGGGUAAAGGCCUACCAAGGCGACGAUCCGUAACUGGUCUGAGAGGAUGAUCAGUCACACUGGAACUGAGACACGGUCCAGACUCCUACGGGAGGCAGCAGUGGGGAAUAUUGGACAAUGGGCGAAAGCCUGAUCCAGCCAUGCCGCGUGUGUGAAGAAGGUCUUCGGAUUGUAAAGCACUUUAAGUUGGGAGGAAGGGCAGUAAGUUAAUACCUUGCUGUUUUGACGUUACCAACAGAAUAAGCACCGGCUAACUUCGUGCCAGCAGCCGCGGUAAUACGAAGGGUGCAAGCGUUAAUCGGAAUUACUGGGCGUAAAGCGCGCGUAGGUGGUUCAGCAAGUUGGAUGUGAAAUCCCCGGGCUCAACCUGGGAACUGCAUCCAAAACUACUGAGCUAGAGUACGGUAGAGGGUGGUGGAAUUUCCUGUCUAGCGGUGAAAUGCGUAGAUAUAGGAAGGAACACCAGUGGCGAAGGCGACCACCUGGACUGAUACUGACACUGAGGUGCGAAAGCCUGGGGAGCAAACAGGAUUAGAUACCCUGGUAGUCCACGCCGUAAACUGAUGUCAACUAGCCGUUGGGAUCCUUGAGAUCUUUAUUGGCGCAGCUAACGCGAUAAGUCGACCGCCUGGGGGAGUACGGCCGCAGGGUUAAAAACUCAAAUGAAUGGACUGGGCGCCCGCACAAGCGGUACGAGCUUGGGGUUUUAUUUCCUUAGCACGGAAUAGAACCUUAACUGGUCUUGACUUAUUAGGAGUUUCCAGA